Molecule: transfer RNA, 83 nt
Filed under: Canis lupus familiaris (dog)
Lineage: Eukaryota; Metazoa; Chordata; Mammalia; Carnivora; Canidae
Also listed under: 1 other name
Rfam family: tRNA
About the family: Transfer RNA (tRNA) molecules are approximately 80 nucleotides in length. Their secondary structure includes four short double-helical elements and three loops (D, anti-codon, and T loops).
Source: Rfam by way of RNAcentral
ACCUGGUUGGCUCAGUGGUUGAGCAUCUGCCUUUGGCUCAGGUGGUGAUUACGGGAUCCUGGGAUCAAGUCCCACAUCAGGCU